This 509-nucleotide ribosomal RNA is filed under the name uncultured bacterium. Its description in RNAcentral is "bacterial SSU rRNA". It matches the Rfam family "Bacterial small subunit ribosomal RNA", at positions 38 to 518 of the family's 1533-position model. The record is from RNAcentral.
GGCGGCGUGCCUAAUACAUGCAAGUCGAACGGUCUUUCUAUGGAAGCUUGCUUCCACUGAGAAGAUAGUGGCGAACGGGUGAGUAACGACGUGGGUAACCUGCCCAUAAGAGGGGGAUAACAUCCGGAAACGGGUGCUAAUACCGCAUAGUUUUCUUGAUCGCAUGAUUGAGAAAGGAAAGACGGCCUUUGUGCUGUCGCUUAUGGAUGGACCCGCGGCGUAUUAGUUAGUUGGUGAGGUAACGGCUCACCAAGACGAUGAUACGUAGCCGACCUGAGAGGGUGAUCGGCCACAUUGGGACUGAGACACGGCCCAAACUCCUACGGGAGGCAGCAGUAGGGAAUCUUCCGCAAUGGACGAAAGUCUGACGGAGCAACGCCGCGUGAGUGAAGAAAAGGUUUUCGGAUCGUAAAACUCUGUUGUCAGAGAAGAACAAGUUGGAGAGUAACUGCUCCAGCCUUGACGGUAUCUGACCAGAAAGCCACGGCUAACUACGUGCCAGCAGCCGC